RNAcentral lists this long non-coding RNA (898 nucleotides) under Sitophilus oryzae (rice weevil). RNAcentral describes it as "uncharacterized LOC115886685, transcript variant X1". Lineage: Eukaryota; Metazoa; Arthropoda; Insecta; Coleoptera; Curculionidae. The record is from RNAcentral.
UUGCUCAUAGAAAUUGAUAAUAUACUAUUUUAUAUUCACUCGUUCAAGUGCUGAUCUAUUUUUAAAUUGAAUAUUUAUGUAAGUAUUAUGUAUAACACAAUAUAAAUAAUUUAAGGACAUAAGAAGUUAAAAUUUCAAGUGCCAAUAUUGAUUAUUUUUCCAGUUUUAUUCAAAUAUAUUGAAAUUAAUAUGGAAACAAAAGUUCAUAAAUAUUAUUCUUAAUAACAAGAAUUGAGAUUUGGGCAUAAGUUUGAAAAGCCAUGUCAGAAGAGUAGGAUUAAAGACAAAGUAUUAAGAGUAAUUGGGCUGUUCCUGAACAAUAUUGAAUAUAAAUAUUCAAAAAUAUGAUAAACUGCAUAUCCUACUAAGUAGAUCAAUACCAAAAUUCCAUUAGAGAAAUAAGUUAAAAUUAUGUUUUACUUGUAUAAUUUUCUUGCUAUUUGUCCACCAUUAUUUGUGACUUAGAAAUUAAAUAGUCAAAAAGAAUUUAGUACCAGUUUUUAUUUCCCAAAAAAAAUAAUUGUUAAAUAAUUACAUAUUGCUUAAGAUACAGUAUAUUAUAUUGUGUUUAUAGUUGAUAAUUCUAGUUCUUAGUUGUUUAUAGUUGAUAAUUAACAAUAUUUCUGAUGUUAGAUAUUAUAUUAGAUAAAAAAUUUAAUUACCAACAGCUACCUACCUAUGUAGCUGCAGAUUAUUAUAUUGUGUAGUAGGUACUGUAUAAUUCUUUAGUUCAAGAAACAAAUAUCAGUACAAGUAUAUAACCAAAAAAUGUUGAUGCAAAUUCUUUGUAUAACAUACGUACCCCUAUGGUAUUCAACUUUUCAUUGUUCUUUUAAUUAGAUACACAAUAAGCACAUUAAUUCGUUUAUUAAACAACCAAAACUAACUACUUAAAUUC